Long non-coding RNA from Cyprinodon tularosa, 611 nucleotides. RefSeq lists it as uncharacterized. Lineage: Eukaryota; Metazoa; Chordata; Actinopteri; Cyprinodontiformes; Cyprinodontidae. The record is from RefSeq and is a predicted model, not a curated record. The transcript has 3 exons.
GAAACCCUGAGACCCAGACUUUUCUCGUUGGAUGAAAGAUUCCUCAUGCUGAACAAACUCAAAAAGAAAAGAAACACAAAAAAACACAUCAAACUUACUGUAGAACUCCCUCUGUCUAGACACCUCCUGAGCUUGGGAAAGCCAGAGGCAUUUCCAGGGCAGCCAAGAGACAUAAUUCUUCAAGCGUGAUCUGGGUCGUCCCCUGGGCCUCCUCCCAGUGGAACCUGCCUGGAAAAUGUCUCGAAGGAGGCAUGCGGGUGGCUUCCGGCAAAAAUGUUUGAGCUAUCUCAGAGGACUCCUCUAGGUGUGGAGAAGAAGCGGCUCUACUCCGAACUUCUCCUGGAAGACCGAGCUCCUCACCCCAUCUAACAAAGUUCUAAGCCACCCUGAAGAUAAGCUUAAUUCAGCUGCUUUUUCAGUAUAUAUAAAGGGUAUUCAACGAAAUAGACCAAGUCAACAGGUUGCAUAACCAUAAAAUAAAAAGAAAGGGGAUACAAUAGUGUUGUGCAGUUGUAUCUCUCACCCCUUUACUCUGACAUCCCAAAAUGAUAUUCAGUGCAACCAAUUGCUGUUAAGAUUUAUCUUAUUUAAAAUCUCAGUAUAAGACUUGC